GUGAAUGCUGCUUUCUAGGAGCCAAGUACAGCCAGGGCCCAAGAGGCAGGCACUGUCCCUGCAGCUGAUUCAGAAGAAAGUGGGGGUGGGAGAAACUGGGGAAAUGCAUAGAGAGAAACCUGACUGUGCUGGGAGUUCUUUAGCCCAAACAUUUGGUAGGGGUGGUGAGAGUCUGGGGACUCCCAAGACUAACAGCAUUUUCAUGGCUAAUGAAAAGUAACACCCUCCCUCUUCCCUAGCUCUUUGUUUUGCCUUCCUUUUCAUCCCCUCACAACCUACUUUUCCUCCUUUAGCUCAUGUACCUGGCCCUUCCCUGGACUCACCUAUACCUCAACUGCUGCGAUUGCAACCAGAUAAAUUGAAGCAAGGGAGGACCAGAAAUGCAUUAGUGUUUGGAGGUGUGGAUCAGCAUUCCCACUCUGUGGGCCGAAGAUGAUCUGCUCACAAAAAGUACCAGAGCACCAUUACAUCACUGCUCUCCUCCCAGAGCUUGACAUGUGAAGAGUGCACCCCUGUACGACUCAUCGACUGCAAUGACUUACUGGCAACAGGAGAUGUGAAGGCUGCAGCUUUCAGGGCAUUAUUUCUAUGCAGACGUACACUUUGUAUAAAGACUCGUCCUACUUUAUUUCUUUCCGUAUUCAACUCUCCUUGUCAAUAUUCCUCAGCUCCUAGUGAAAGGCUGCACAGCUGCAAUGUUCUUGGUGCUGAGCACGACACAGCUAAUGCAGUGCUACUCUCAUGUGAAAGAUAAAUGGGGUGGAGAUGGCCGAGGGAGGGCAGCAAGUUCAAAAUGACAUGAGAGCUUCACUUUUCCCCCAUUUUGUGCCAGAUGAAAAGGAACACCCUUCUCCUUUGCAUCCGAUGAAGUGAGCUGUAGCUCACAAAAGUUUAUGCUCAAAUAAAUUGGUUAGUCUCUAA
Molecule: long non-coding RNA, 921 nt
Organism: Caretta caretta (loggerhead turtle)
Lineage: Eukaryota; Metazoa; Chordata; Testudines; Cheloniidae
Source: RefSeq, a predicted model, not a curated record